Molecule: long non-coding RNA, 1434 nt
Filed under: Apteryx rowi (Okarito brown kiwi)
Lineage: Eukaryota; Metazoa; Chordata; Aves; Apterygiformes; Apterygidae
Description: lncRNA (ENSARWG00000008614.1)
Source: RNAcentral
UUUAUUGGAAAAAGGAAAAAAGGGACCUUUUUUUGGCUGGCUUAGCUCAUUGCACGGCCGCUUUCGGCGUCCCCCCCCCGUUUGCGUGGCCACCGCUCCGCGGAGGAGGGACCCAAGCGGGGCCAAAUCCGGCUCUUUUCCUCCCAGCAGGGAAUGGAGCCRCUUGUCCCGGGAGUCCCGAGACGCAGGUAAAACCGGCGCUCGUGUCCCCAUCCCACCGGCCACGCGCCCGCGGCCUCCGCGUCCCACCCGCCGCGGCUCCUUCCCGCGUGCCGCAGGCGUCCCCGGCUUGCGACAGCGAGGAGGAGGAGGAGGAGGAGGAGGAGGAGGAGGAAGGCUGCAGGGCGGAGGAGUGGCACUGCCGCUGCGAGGCCGAGCAAGCCAAAGCCCUGCAGCUGGAGCGGCAGCUGGCGACGAAGACGCGGGAGUGCGAGCGGCUCUUGGCCGGCAUCCGGGAGCAGGCGCGGGAGCUGGAGCGGCUGCUGCCCAGCGCCAGGAGCGCGGAGCUGAGCACGGAGCCGAGCCAGGAUGCACCGGAGGGUGAGCGUUGCCUGAGCCUCCUGGCUGAGCGUGUGCGGGAGCUGAGGAGGAGGAAGGAGGAGGAGGAAGAGCGCGGCAGGCCGCGGGAGCUCGAGGGCCCGCCGGAAAACGCGCCGGGAGCGCUCGCCGCCUCCGAGCGGGAGCUGCGGGCGCUGCUGGCACCGUUCCUCGCCUGGCUGCGGGACGCCUGCGCCGGGCUGCGGGAGGAGAAGCUCGGCGCCUUUGCCCGGAGCGCGGCGCUGAGGAAGGAGGUGGAGGAAGCCCUGCGGAGCAAGCUGCACUACGAGGUGGUGCCGGCCGACGCCGUCCGGAAGAGCCUGGCGGCCUGGGAGAAGCUGGCGCUGGGGCUGGAGCGGGCGCUGAGCCGCGCCGAUGAGAGCGGCACCGAGCUGCUGCGGAGAUCCCGGCCGCUCCUGGAGAUCCUCGGGGUGCCGCGGAGCCAGCAGGCGCCAGAGCAGCCGCUUCCCGCACCGGAGCCUUCCCAAGGGAACAGCACGAAUCCAGGCCGGAGCGGAGCAGGCGCACCGGAGAGCGAUGCCGAAGAGCGGAGCGGCGAGCUGGAGAAGGAGGUGCUGGAGCUCAAGGAGAGCAACGGGAAGCUCCUGGGCGAGCUGGCCCGGCUGGGCCGGGAGCGCGAGCGGCUGCAGGAAGAGCUGCGCGGGCUGCGGGAGCRGGAUGCCGGCGCCGAGGCACCAGGGCGGCUGAGACGGCGGCUGGCGGAGCAGCGGCGGGAGCUGACGGCGCUGCGGGACGACCUGAGCGCCCGGGCGCGGGAAGAAGCUGGAAGCCAGCGCUCCGGCGCCUGCAUCCUCCGGGAGCUGCACCGCAAGCUGGACGGGCUGGUGAGGAAGCAGCACGAGGCCUUGCAACUCGUGUCGCAGAUGGAAGGCGAAG